This is an RNA transcript of Odobenus rosmarus divergens (Pacific walrus), 460 nucleotides long. It is a transcript of the gene named cytochrome c-like, with no coding region annotated. The transcript has a single exon. Lineage: Eukaryota; Metazoa; Chordata; Mammalia; Carnivora; Odobenidae. The record is from RefSeq and is a predicted model, not a curated record.
AUGGGUGAUGUUGAGAAGGGCAAGAAGAUUUUUGUUCAGCAGUGUGCCCAGUGCCAUACUGUGGAAAAGGGAGGCAAGCACAAGACUGGGUCAAAUCUUCAUGGUUUAUUUGGGAGAAAGACUGGUCAGUCCCCUGGAUUUUCUUACACAGAUGCCAACAAGAACAAAGGCAUCACCUGGGGAGAGGAGACAUUGAUGAGUAUUUGGAGAAUCCCAAGAAGUGCAUCCCUGGAACCAAAAUGAUCUCCACUGACAUUAAAAAGACAGGGGAAAGAGCAGACUUGAUAGCUUAUCUCAAAAAAGUGACUAAGGAGUAAUAGUUGGCCAUUGCCUUAUUUAUUAAAAAACAAAACUGUUUCACGACUUUUUUUUUAUGUGUACCAUAUUUAAAUUGAUCUCAUACACCAGAAUUCAGAUCAUGAAUGGCUGAUAGAAUACUUCUUUUAGACAGUCCUGAUUU